ACAAGCCACAAGCAUUUGCAAUAGGAAUUCGAUGAGACAAAAGUCGACAAUAACUAAGAUUUAAUAAUAAUAGCACGUCGACUAUACACCUCAUGAUCAUUAUUUUAGAUUCAACGACUAAAUUCAAUAAGAAUUUAUAUGAUUUGGUAUAUCUCAACCAAACUCAAAUCAUUUCUCCCAUCCCUCGCAAUUUCGUCCAUGCAAGAAAUAUUUCAUUAAUGGUUUUUUCAGAGGUUGCUUCACUCACCUACCUAUGUCAAGAAAGCUCCUCAAACAAAUUCUACUCUAGCCUUUUUUGGGCAAAAAAUUCUCUCGAGAUUUUUGCUAGUUGAAUUUCUAAUGAGGUCUUCUGCAAGCCCGUAUAUGGCGGAACAAAUACCCGAGACUUGUUAAGCACGGGUCGAAACUCCAACCGCGCUUCUAGGCUACUAUAAUUACAAUUCUGCUUUUGAUUCCUCGUCUUCUGAUGAAACGUCGCCGACUUUGUCCUGCGUUUGGAGAGGAGAAGGUGCUGCAUGUUCUUGGAGUUCGACAUUCUCUCCUAAAAUUUUAGCAGUGAAUUGUCUAGCUUCUAAAUCAAGAUCCGGCCAUUCGGCAACUAUUCUUUUAGCUCCCUAAACACAGAAACGUGAAGCAAAGAUAAGCCAUCAAUUCGUUGACAAGCCACAAGCAUUUGCAAUAGGAAUUCGAUGAGACAAAAGUCGACAAUAACUAAGAUUUAAUAAUAAUAGCACGUCGACUAUACACCUCAUGAUCAUUAUUUUAGAUUCAACGACUAAAUUCAAUAAGAAUUUAUAUGAUUUGGUAUAUCUCAACCAAACUCAAAUCAUUUCUCCCAUCCCUCGCAAUUUCGUCCAUGCAAGAAAUAUUUCAUUAAUGGUUUUUUCAGAGGUUGCUUCACUCACCUACCUAUGUCAAGAAAGCUCCUCAAACAAAUUCUACUCUAGCCUUUUUUGGGCAAAAAAUUCUCUCGAGAUUUUUGCUAGUUGAAUUUCUAAUGAGGUCUUCUGCAAGCCCGUAUAUGGCGGAACAAAUACCCGAGACUUGUUAAGCACGGGUCGAAACUCCAACCGCGCUUCUAGGCUACUAUAAUUACAAUUCUGCUUUUGAUUCCUCGUCUUCUGAUGAAACGUCGCCGACUUUGUCCUGCGUUUGGAGAGGAGAAGGUGCUGCAUGUUCUUGGAGUUCGACAUUCUCUCCUAAAAUUUUAGCAGUGAAUUGUCUAGCUUCUAAAUCAAGAUCCGGCCAUUCGGCAACUAUUCUUUUAGCUCCCUAAACACAGAAACGUGAAGCAAAGAUAAGCCAUGAUGAUG
Molecule: long non-coding RNA, 1313 nt
Filed under: Olea europaea (common olive)
Lineage: Eukaryota; Viridiplantae; Streptophyta; Magnoliopsida; Lamiales; Oleaceae
Description: long non-coding RNA (OEUR_LNC001033)
Source: RNAcentral